UGUGGAUAAAGAUAUAUGACAUACGUAGACUAUGAUAAUAACAGAGGUUUGAACAGGGACAAGCUGUGUUUCAUUGGCUGCCGAACUGUCCCACAGUUUGGGGCGCUGUAGUGGAGACCUUGGGAAAAGAAUGAAAACCCAAAUCUUGCCGUUGGGGAAGGCCACCCCGCUUGCACGUACUAAAGAACACAGCUGGAUUGGCAUUGGGGCUAAAAUACUCAGGGCAGUAGCCCCUAGUGAUGGGACCUACCGACGCCCAAGACUGUGAUAGUGUUGGUGGACAGACAGGUGAACGUCGACCUACUGAGUCUCAGGUGAUGUCAGCGGACGGCCGCUAACCCGGGAGGGCCCUCCAGAAGAUGGCCUGCUUGGAAGAUGCAGACGCAGCGCUUUUCCGACUUGUUCAUGAAGACGACAUACUCAAAAGCUGCACCCUGCUCUUCUGUGUUCCGGGUGAAGAGGCGGGCCUUCUCCUUCAGCAGCUUACUGAGACACUUCCCGCCUGAAUUACAACACAGAGACAAUGACAUAUAACAACAAAUGGUUUAACAAUGACUGGAUCAACGCGAGCAAAAACCUUCUUACCGACACAGCGCGAGAGCUGAGCCAAGGAAGCAGGGCUGUUCUGGGGAUCAGCCGCAGGAUGGCGCUCCUGAGGGGACGAGCGGAAACG
This is a long non-coding RNA of Paramormyrops kingsleyae, 673 nucleotides long. RefSeq lists it as uncharacterized. The record is from RefSeq and is a predicted model, not a curated record. Lineage: Eukaryota; Metazoa; Chordata; Actinopteri; Osteoglossiformes; Mormyridae.